Molecule: long non-coding RNA, 6194 nt
Organism: Nerophis ophidion (straightnose pipefish)
Lineage: Eukaryota; Metazoa; Chordata; Actinopteri; Syngnathiformes; Syngnathidae
Exons: 2
Source: RefSeq, a predicted model, not a curated record
GAGGGGGGGGGGGGGAUGGUUAGUCAUUUUGCAAUGCACCUGAUACCUGAAACACACUUCAAGAUAUUCAACACUCUACUCCCAUCUGGCAGCUAAAGUGGAAAGUGCACCCCGCCGAUUUCGUCACGUUUCAUGUGUCAGGUGAACCGACUGUGGAUCAAACUCCUGGCCUGGAAAUAAUGUGCAUCAAUAAAGUACUUCAUCUUUUUUUUCUUUGUUUUUAACAAAAUCUACUCGUUCUUUUUUCGUUCUGACAAAGAAACUAAAAAUGUUCCAUUGAAAUUGGACCAUUCUGAGUCAAAUAAGGCUGAAAAUAGUCCAGGGAGUCAAAGAAACGUGCCCUCGUAUUGCGUGCAUAUAAAUGUUGCGUUCUUAAUUGUACUUAGGGGCAGAAAAAUGUUGUACAAUAGGAAAAGUUGUAUUCAAAAAUGAUUUGAAGACAAUAAGAACACGCAUGUUUUCCCUUUCUAAUGCAUUCUAAGUCAUAUAUAAACAUAAAAUAAAAGUUAGAUAACGAUGGGAGUCGUGAUGUCAUUAUUGUGUCCUUUAAAGGCCGCUAAAAAAACACCCAAAGAGCGCCAACAAUACUCCAUAACAUAAAUAUUAACCAAGUAUUAGCAAUAUUGGUAUUUUAAGCGCUAACGCUGAGGAACUAUAGCAGCUGACUAGCAUAAGCUGCUAUAUUGACAAUCGAUUGUGGACAUAAACCGCUAAGUUGGUCAACUUUGACGUUCAACUCAGACCUGGAGAUGGCAAGAAAGACACGAAAAAUUAUUCUUUCAGUUUUUUUAAAACUUGCGUUAGGAUCAUGAAUAAUUCUUCAUCUAAACCAAAUAUACAAACAUCCCAUCGGUCUGCAUCCCAGUGAGAGCCGACAUUGUCCAGUAAGUGAUUGUUUCAUUAUGUUUGUUGUCUGCCAUGAUUGGUAGCGUAGUGCUUAAAAUGAGCAAAACACGUAAAUGUGACAUGUUAUUAUGAACGUGACAAUUGUGUACAGUACAGCGUGCAUAUUAAAAAAUAGUGGUUUUUAAAGUGCUUUGUAGGCGGAAUAGAGCGACUCCAACUGGCUUUGUUGGUAGUUGACCUUUGCGAGCGUUUAUUUACCAGUAAGAAUGUGUAAAAAAAGAAAAACACAUUUGUUCUUGUCUUACAUGAAUUGAUUAACUUGACCCCGACUUAAACAAGUUGAAAAACUUAUUGGGGUGUUACCAUUUAGUGGUCAAUUGUAUGGAAUAUGUACUGAACUGUGCAUUCUACUAAUAAAAGUAUCAAUCAAUCAAUCAAUUACAUAAGGAUGAUGAAUAAUAGGCAAAAUUACUGUCUAUUAAACAAGACGAGAAGCAAGGAAUUAAACAGAGACAGAAUUCAAUUUGGCUCCUUUGAGGAGAGACGUCUGGACUGCACUCUUUAUACGGUCUCACCAUGCUGGGGGGAAAGAUCGAACGCCUCCUCUUUUAUUUGGACUUUCCCGGAUUCCAUGGCAACAACUCUUUCUAAGGGACGGGGGGUCGUAAACAGCCGUCGCCUUUCAUUACAAACAGCUCAAAGAAAAUGUCGGUACAAAGAAAAGGUCGUAAAAAAGUUCAAAGAAGAGGUCCCUGGGGAAAAAAAUUAUGUGUGUAUAAAUGAUAUGCACACAUUUAGCUGUAAAAAUAUGUAUGUUUGGGUCCCUUUUUUUCAGGAACACUAAUACCAAAAGUCACAAUGUCUGAUUGAAUUCUAAAAACGUUAUGACAGACCACCUCAAAUAAACCGAAUGGAAUUUUACAGGUUUUUUUUACUGAAUGGGACACCCAAAAUGUACAUGAAAAUCAAGAAAAAGUGGGAUUUUCAAUAUUAACUAUGCACUAUAAAAAACUGAAUAUUAACAACAGAUGAACAUCGCUCCUCUUUCACUUCUCAGACCAGCUCCUCCAUAGUUUUGUAUAUUUUGCAACGAAGUAAAACACAACACAAAUGUAACAAACAGCAAAACAUGAAUGCAAAGUGCAAUAAACACCUACAAUAUGAUAUAUUAUCACUUUUAUGCUGAACUUUGUUGUAAAAAUCUGCUUUCUCAUCCGUUUCUAACACGGGCGUUUCAGGCUGGCUGCUCUGAAAACAACGUAUGUCAGGUUGACAUCUAUUAAACAAGACAAGAAGCAAGGAAUUCAACAGAGACAGAAUAAAAUUUGGCUCAAUGAGGAGAAACGCGUAGACCUGUACCCUGGUACGGUCUCACCACGCUCUGACGAAAGAUUGUGCGCCUCCUCUGUAAGACUUAGACCUUGGAAAAUCUUUAUUGUCCCCGAGAGGCAAUUUGGUUUGCAGUAGUAGUCAUUAAAAACCAGGUUCAACAGGAAAAACAAGGUACAACAGUAAAAAAGGGGCGUACCUACAUCCUGAGGGCAAGAGUCUAAACUCUAUGAGUUUAGACUUUUUCUGAUGACAUGGCAACAGCUGUUUCUAAAGGAAGGGGGUUGUAAACAGCCGCAGCCUUUGGUCACAAAACAGUUCAAAGAAAAGGUGCCAUUAGGGGGGUCGGGUCCUGCUUCCUCUGUCAAGAGUUAUUUGGUAACAAACCCCAAGAUGCAGAAACAGAGGCAGGCAUUGAACAGGAAAACAUGAUUUAAUUAAAAUAUUACAAAAACAACAAACCAAAGGGGUACAACCAAAAGUGCGCACAAGGCGGGUAACAAACUAAGGGAGCUAGCAUGGGAGCUAGAAAAUAAAAGGAGCUUAACAUGGAAGUUAGCAAAAACAAAAAGGGUCCAGCGAGGAAGCUAGCGGGCAGCGAGCAGGAAAACAGAAAUCGUAACGUUUAGUACAAAACAAACUGGAAGCAGGGAACAAAGAACAGUACGCUACAAACAUCGAACAGGUAUAGCUUACCGCUACGCUGCAAAUACAAGACACGGCACGACACAACAGGAGCGACAUCGACAAAACGAUAAUCCAGCAACUGACUGGAGGACAAAUACAGACUCAAAUAGAAGCGGGCUGAUUGACACCAGGUGUGGCCAGGUGCCAAUCAGCUGUAUCUGAGGUGAAAACAGCACACAGGGAAACUAAAAUCAGGAAAUACUAAACACACACAGAGGAAAAACUAAAACACAGUGACAAACCCCAAGAUGCAGAGACGGAGGCAGGCAUUGAACAGGAAAACAUGAUUGAAUUAAAAUAUUACUACAAGAACAAACCAAGGGGGUACAACCAAAAGUGCGCACGAGGCGGAUAACAAACUAAGGGAGCUAGCAUGGGAGCUAGAAAAUAAAAGGAGCUUAACAUGGAAGCUAGCAAAAACAAAAUACAAGACACGGCACAACACGACAGGAGCGACAUCGACAAAACAAUAAUCCAGCAACUGACUGGAGUACAAAUACAGACUCAAAUACAAGCGGGCUGAUUGACACCAGGUGUGGCCAGGUGCCAAUCAGUCGCAUCUGAGGGGAAAACAGCACACAGGGAAACUAAAAACAGGAAAUACUAAACACACAUAGAGGAACAACUAAAACACAAACAAACUGUCAGUGGCAGGCCUAACAUCCUCCAUGCUUUGUAAAUCUCGGGCCAAGACAAAAUCCUCCUGAGGAUUAGGAUACAUGAAAGAAACCAACACCUUCAUGUCGCUUCCCAUCCUACACAGAGGAGUUUUACAAGACUUUUGCUUGGCAAGAUCACAGACAGAUUUUGUCUGCUAGCCGGGAACUCAUUGAAACACAAAGUUUUGUGAUAACUUGGAAAUAAUUAUUCUGAAAAUGUAGUUUACCAUUAAAAAAAACUCCUUUAAGACUCAAAAGUGCAGAUUUCAACCAUUGAAAAACUUUCUAUAGUUCAAAGUCAUUUGAAAACAAGAACUGCACGUGUUAAUGGCGGCUACAGUUUGGAUGGUAAACAUCUACAAAAAAAUCAUUUACAACGUCCGUCGGGCCGGAUUGAAAAGCUUAAUGUGUAUUUUGCCCUGGUAUGACUUGUCCAGGGUGUACACCGCCUUCCGCUUGAUAUCAUCCAUUACGGAUAGGUUGAUUGGCAACACUAAACGGGCCCUAGUGUGUGAAUGUUGUCUGCUAUCUGUGAUGAGGUGGCGACUUGUCCAUGGUGUACACCGCCUUCCGCUUGAUUGUAGCUGAGAUAGGCACCAGCACCCCCGCAACCCCAAACGGGACAAUCGGUAGAAAAUGGAUGGAUGGAUGGAUGGAUUGGCAACACUAAAUGCACCGUAGUGUGUGAAUGUUGUCUGCUAUCUGUGAUGAGGUGGCGACUUGUCCAGGGUGUACGCCGCCUUCCGUCCGAAUGCAGCCGAUAAGCUCCAGCACCCUGGCGACCCCAAACGGGACAAUCGGUAGAAAAUGGAUGGAUGGAUGGAUGGAUUGGCAACACUAAAUGCACCGUAGUGUGUGAAUGUUGUCUGUCUAUCUGUGUUGGCCCUGUGAUGAGGUGGCGACUUGUCCAGGGUGUACACCGCCUUCCACUUGAUUGUAGCUGAGAUAGGCUCCAGCACCCCCGCGACCCCAAACGGGACAAUCGGUAGAAAAUGGAUGGACGGAUGGAUGGAGGAUUGGCAACACUAAAUGCACCGUAGUGUGUGAAUGUUGUCUGUCUAUCUGUGUUGGCCCUGUGAUGGGGUGGCGACUUGUCCAGGGUGUACGCCACCUUCCGUCCGAAUGCAGCCGAGAUAAGCUCCAGCACCCCCGCGACCCCAAACGGGACAAUCGGUAGAAAAUGGAUGGAUGGAUGGAGGAUUGGCAACACUAAAUGGGCCCUAGUGUGUGAAUGUUGUCUGCUAUCUGUGAUGAGGUGGCGACUUGUCCAGAGUGUACGCGGCCUUCCGCUUGAUUGUAGCUGAGAUAGGCACCAGCACCCCCGCAACCCCAAACGGGACAAUCGGUAGAAAUGGAUGGAUGGAUGGAGGAUUGGCAACACUAAAUGCACCGUAGUGUGUGAAUGUUGUCUGUCUAUCUGUGUUGGCCCUGUGAUGAGGUGGCGACUUGUCCAGGGUGUACGCCGCCUUCCGCUUGAUUGUAGCUGAGAUAGGCACCAGCGACCCCGAAGGGAAUAAGCGGUAGAAAAUGGAUGGAUGGUUUAAAUAUUAUCCACUACGGAUAGGUUGAUUGGAAACACUAAACGGGCCCUAGUGUGUGAAUGUUGUCUGCUAUCUGUGAUGAGGUGGCGACUUGUCCAGGGUGUACACCGCCUUCCGCCCCAAUGCAGCCGAGACAGGCUCCAGCACCCCGGCGACCAAAAACGGGACAAUCGGUAGAAAAUGGAUGGAUGGAUGGAUGGAGGAUUGGCAACACUAAACGGGCCCUAGUGUGUGAAUGUUGUCUGCUAUCUGUGAUGAGGUGGCGACUUGUCCAGGGUGUAUGACGCCUUCUGCCCGAUUGUAUUCGAGAUAGGCUCCAGCACCCCGGCGACCCCAGAUGGGACGAUCGGUAGAAAAUGGAUGGAUGGAUGGAGGAUUGGCAACACUAAAUGCACUGUAGUGUGUGAAUGUUGUCUGUCUAUCUGUGUUGGCCCUGUGAUGAGGUGGCGACUUGUCCAGGGUGUACGCCGCCUUCCGCUUGAUUGUAGCCGAGAUAGGCUCAGGACCCCCCCCCACCCCCCCUUAUACGACCCCCAACGGGACAAUCGGUAGAAAAAUGGACGGACGGUGCAGACUUUUUCACUUGUAGUUCUCCGGUAGUGUGAAGUGAAGUGAAUUAUAUUUAUAUAGCGCUUUUCUCUAGUGACUAAAAGUGCUUUACAUAGUGAAACCCAAUAUCUAAGUUACAUUUAAACCAGUGUGGGUGGCACUGGGAGCAGGUGGGUAAAGUGUCUUGCCCAAGGAUACAACGGCAGUGACUAGGAUGGCGGAUGCGGGAAUCGAACCUGCAACCGUCAAGUUGCUGGCACGGCCACUCUACCAACCGAGCUAUACCGCCCCAGUAUGGCGGAAAAAAACAAACUACUGCAGAAAAUCCUUUUUUUAAAUAAAUCCUCCGAGGCCAGAAUCCCUGAGCCACUCUUUGAAAAUACUGCCAGGAAAUGUUCAAGAAAAUCACAUUUCUUUUAUUUCUUUCACUAUUUAGCAACUUUCCUGUGUCUUUUCCAGCCAGAAUUGAACGUAAUAUGUUUUUAUUGGCGUGUGUGUGUUCAAUAAGUGAGUUUAUUUUUAUAACCAUGUUUUCUAUCAGCACUCCAGUUGUACUUUGCUAGCAAAUAAACAUUUUCCAAUA